Molecule: non-coding RNA, 169 nt
Filed under: Desulfitobacterium dichloroeliminans
Lineage: Bacteria; Bacillati; Bacillota; Clostridia; Eubacteriales; Desulfitobacteriaceae
Also listed under: 1 other name
Description: GlcN6P sequence
Rfam family: glmS glucosamine-6-phosphate activated ribozyme aptamer
About the family: This entry contains a glucosamine-6-phosphate activated ribozyme that is found in the mRNA for GlmS. GlmS is an enzyme that uses fructose-6-phosphate and glutamine to generate glucosamine-6-phosphate.
Source: RNAcentral
CAAGUUAAUACAGCGCCUGGACCGUGAGCGAACAUCAAGUAUUGAGCAUGGUUGACGAGGAAGAGGGUUAUCGAAAGAUUCGGCGGAUGCCCUCUCGGUGUCUUGGCACCGCAGGCUUAUUACAAAACCGCGAAGUGAUUUGCGGAACAAAGAGUAAGCAUCAAGGAAC